RNAcentral lists this ribosomal RNA (292 nucleotides) under uncultured bacterium. RNAcentral's name for it is "partial 16S ribosomal RNA". It matches the Rfam family "Bacterial small subunit ribosomal RNA", at positions 505 to 796 of the family's 1533-position model. The record is from RNAcentral.
GUGCCAGCCGCCGCGGUAAUACGGGGGGUGCAAGCGUUAUUCGGAAUUAUUGGGCGUAAAGGGCGCGUAGGCGGUCUUUUAAGUCAGAUGUGAAAGCCCGGGGCUCAACCCCGGAAGUGCAUUUGAAACUAAGGGACUUGAGUAUGGGAGAGGGAAGUGGAAUUCCUGGUGUAGAGGUGAAAUUCGUAGAUAUCAGGAGGAACACCGGUGGCGAAGGCGACUUCCUGGACCAAUACUGACGCUGAGGUGCGAAGGCGUGGGUAGCAAACAGGAUUAGAAACCCGGGUAGUCC